CACAGCACAAAAACAACAGAUUCCACUAAAACCCUCAAUCUCCUACAUCAACACCGAGCUACCCUAUAAAUAUAGUCAAACUAAUGCUAAAACUAGUAAUAAGAAAAACUUCUCUAUGGCACACCUUUGCCCCAGAAAUAGAUAACCUACUGAACAUUAACAGACCCAAACAGGAACCACACAACAUGUGGAGAAAACUGUCAACCCGACACUGGAGUGCCACAAAGAUGAUUAAAAGUUGUAUAAGGAACUCAGCAAAACCUGUCCCAACUGUUUACCAAAAACAUAGCCUUUAGCAAAACAAGUAUUAAAGGUCCCGCCUGCCCAGUGAAACUUAUUUAACGGCCGCGGUAUUCUAACCGUGCAAAGGUAGCGUAAUCACUUGUCUUCUAAAUAAAGACCUGUAUGAACGGCUAAAUGAGGACAAACCUGUCUCUUACAACCAAUCAAUGAAACUGAUCUACCAGUACAAAAGCUGGUAUAAACACAUAAGACGAGAAGACCCUGUGGAGCUUAAGACAAAACACCAAUGCACAAUAAAAACAUGGUGCUGGGUCUUCAGUUGGGGCGACUUCGGAAAAAAACAAAACUUCCGAGCAAAUAUCCAUAGCAUAAAACCAAGGCAAACAGGCCUAAUAUUUUUCUGACCCGGCCACGCCGAUCAACGAACCAAGUUACCCCAGGGAUAACAGCGCUAUCUUCUUUAAGAGUCCAUAUCGACAAGAAGGUUUACGACCUCGAUGUUGGAUCAGGACACCCCGGCGGUGCAGCCGCUGCCAAAGGUUCGUUUGUUCAACGAUUAACAGU
This 807-nucleotide ribosomal RNA is filed under the name Eutropis macularia (bronze grass skink). RNAcentral describes it as "partial 16S rRNA". It matches the Rfam family "Bacterial large subunit ribosomal RNA", at positions 1604 to 2594 of the family's 2925-position model. The record is from RNAcentral. Lineage: Eukaryota; Metazoa; Chordata; Lepidosauria; Squamata; Scincidae.